Molecule: ribosomal RNA, 599 nt
Filed under: Aspergillus pseudotamarii
Lineage: Eukaryota; Fungi; Ascomycota; Eurotiomycetes; Eurotiales; Aspergillaceae
Description: eukaryotic LSU rRNA
Rfam family: 5.8S ribosomal RNA (bases 215-368)
Source: RNAcentral
UCCGUAGGUGAACCUGCGGAAGGAUCAUUACCGAGUGUAGGGUUCCUAGCGAGCCCAACCUCCCACCCGUGUUUACUGUAACCUUAGUUGCUUCGGCGGGCCCGCCGUUUACGGCCGCCGGGGGGCAUCAGCCCCCGGGCCCGCGCCCGCCGGAGACACCACGAACUCUGUCUGAUCUAGUGAAGUCUGAGUUGAUUGUAUCGCAAUCAGUUAAAACUUUCAACAAUGGAUCUCUUGGUUCCGGCAUCGAUGAAGAACGCAGCGAAAUGCGAUAACUAGUGUGAAUUGCAGAAUUCCGUGAAUCAUCGAGUCUUUGAACGCACAUUGCGCCCCCUGGUAUUCCGGGGGGCAUGCCUGUCCGAGCGUCAUUGCUGCCCAUCAAGCACGGCUUGUGUGUUGGGUCGUCGUCCCCUCUCCGGGGGGGACGGGCCCCAAAGGCAGCGGCGGCACCGCGUCCGAUCCUCGAGCGUAUGGGGCUUUGUCACCCGCUCUGUAGGCCCGGCCGGCGCUUGCCGAACGCAAAACAACCAUUCUUUCCAGGUUGACCUCGGAUCAGGUAGGGAUACCCGCUGAACUUAAGCAUAUCAAUAAGCGGAGGA